Molecule: ribosomal RNA, 952 nt
Filed under: Staphylococcus sp.
Lineage: Bacteria; Bacillati; Bacillota; Bacilli; Caryophanales; Staphylococcaceae
Description: bacterial SSU rRNA
Rfam family: Bacterial small subunit ribosomal RNA
Source: RNAcentral
AAGUCGAGCGACAGACGAGGAGCUUGCUCCUCUGACGUUAGCGGCGGACGGGUGAGUAACACGUGGAUAACCUACCUAUAAGACUGGGAUAACUUCGGGAAACCGGAGCUAAUACCGGAUAAUAUAUUGAACCGCAUGGUUCAAUAGUGAAAGACGGUUUUGCUGUCACUUAUAGAUGGAUCCGCGCCGCAUUAGCUAGUUGGUAAGGUAACGGCUUACCAAGGCAACGAUGCGUAGCCGACCUGAGAGGGUGAUCGGCCACACUGGAACUGAGACACGGUCCAGACUCCUACGGGAGGCAGCAGUAGGGAAUCUUCCGCAAUGGGCGAAAGCCUGACGGAGCAACGCCGCGUGAGUGAUGAAGGUCUUCGGAUCGUAAAACUCUGUUAUUAGGGAAGAACAAAUGUGUAAGUAACUAUGCACGUCUUGACGGUACCUAAUCAGAAAGCCACGGCUAACUACGUGCCAGCAGCCGCGGUAAUACGUAGGUGGCAAGCGUUAUCCGGAAUUAUUGGGCGUAAAGCGCGCGUAGGCGGUUUUUUAAGUCUGAUGUGAAAGCCCACGGCUCAACCGUGGAGGGGCAUUGGAAACUGGAAAACUUGAGUGCAGAAGAGGAAAGUGGAAUUCCAUGUGUAGCGGUGAAAUGCGCAGAGAUAUGGAGGAACACCAGUGGCGAAGGCGACUUUCUGGUCUGUAACUGACGCUGAUGUGCGAAAGCGUGGGGAUCAAACAGGAUUAGAUACCCUGGUAGUCCACGCCGNNAACGAUGAGUGCUAAGUGUUAGGGGGUUUCCCCCCUUAGUGCUGCAGCUAACGCAUUAAGCACUCCGCCUGGGGNGGACGACCGCAAGGUGGAACUCAAAGGAAUGACGGGGACCCCCCCAGCGGUGGAGCAGUGGGUUAUUCGAAGCACGCGAAGAACUUACCAAUCUUGAAUCCUCUGACCCUCUCGA